ACGGAGGAUGCAAGCGUUAUCCGGAUUUAUUGGGUUUAAAGGGUGCGUAGGCGGAAUAAUAAGUCAGUGGUGAAAUACCCCGGCUCAACCGGGGAACUGCCAUUGAUACUGUUAAUCUAGAGUACAUUUGAUGUGGGCGGAAUGUAGCAUGUAGCGGUGAAAUGCUUAGAUAUGCUACAGAACACCGAUUGCGAAGGCAGCUCACUAAACUGUAACUGACGCUGAGGCACGAAAGCGUGGGGAGCAAACAG
This 251-nucleotide ribosomal RNA is filed under the name uncultured prokaryote. Its description in RNAcentral is "partial 16S rRNA". It matches the Rfam family "Bacterial small subunit ribosomal RNA", at positions 525 to 775 of the family's 1533-position model. The record is from RNAcentral.